This 254-nucleotide ribosomal RNA is filed under the name uncultured bacterium. RNAcentral's name for it is "partial 16S ribosomal RNA". It matches the Rfam family "Bacterial small subunit ribosomal RNA", at positions 524 to 776 of the family's 1533-position model. The record is from RNAcentral.
CACGUAGGCACCAAGCGUUGUCCGGAUUUAUUGGGCGUAAAGAGCUCGUAGGCGGUUCGGUAAGUCGGGUGUGAAAACUCUGGGCUCAACCCAGAGCCGCCACCCGAUACUGCUGUGACUCGAGUGCGGUAGGGGAGCGGGGAAUUCCUGGUGUAGCGGUGAAAUGCGCAGAUAUCAGGAGGAACAUCGGUGGCGAAGGCGGCAUCCUGGACCGAUAUUGACGCUGAGGCGCGAAAGCCAGGGGAGCAAACGGG